UGCAUACCGCCUCCAUUGUUAACAGAACCUCAACCUAAGUUUUCUCUUGAACCUGUCUUUACAGAGUCCAAGAUGAUGGUCAAGUUUAUCAAUCCAAGAGCUGAUAUCUUCAAACAAGACAUUAUCAUCAUCAUUAUUCUGUCAUUGGCUGGGAACAGUGAACUGCAGCCACUGGAAACAGCAGGGCUCCAUGCCUGUGGACACUCAGAUUGAUAAAGCAAUAUUGCUACUCCUACUCAUCUUAAGGAUACAGAAGUCAACAUUCACGGGUAUUGAAGAGCCAUGCAGAUGCUGGGUGUCUUGCUGCUGGAGACAUUACUCCUGGAUUUGACAUCAGGUCCCCCUCAUUUUUAGUUGGAGCAGCAGAAGGCUAAAAUAAUCCAACAUGCAGCACAAUAGAUUAUUUUGUAUAAAUGCAGAAAAAGUGCAAAUAUAGCUGUCUGCAUUACUGCCAUCCUCUACUUUUAUGGGCCAAAUAAUGUUGUGCUGAAGAAAAGAUAAUAGUAGUCUUCCCAUCUCCAUAACUGUAGCUACUGAAAGUAGCCAAAAUAGAAGCCAUAGCAGGGUACCUGUGUUGCACAAUGCCCUAAACUCAGUCCAGCUUCCAUAUUCAUUUGCCAUGAUAUAAAUAUGGAGAAUUCCAUUGACUUUUGUUGACUUCACUGGAGGUAUUUUCAAGUUAAACCAGUGAGACAUCUGAAUCUGGU
Pelodiscus sinensis (Chinese soft-shelled turtle) is the source of this 707-nucleotide long non-coding RNA. RefSeq lists it as uncharacterized. The record is from RefSeq and is a predicted model, not a curated record. NCBI's taxonomy places the organism in Eukaryota, Metazoa, Chordata, Testudines, Trionychidae.